GACGAACGCUGGCGGCGUGCUUAACACAUGCAAGUCGAACGGAAAGGCCUCUUUCGGGGGGUACUCGAGUGGCGAACGGGUGAGUAACACGUGAGUAACCUGCCCUUGACUUUGGGAUAACUUCCGGAAACUGGGGCUAAUACCGGAUAGGAGCUCCUGCUGCCUGGGGGGGGUUGGAAAGUUUCGGCGGUUGGGGCUGGACUCGCGGCUUAUCAGCUAGUUGGUGGGGUAGUGGCUUACCAAGGCUUUGACGGGUAGCCGGCCGGAGAGGGUGACCGGCCACAUUGGGGCUGGGAUACGGCCCUGACUCCUACGGGUGGCAGCAGUGGCGAAUGUUGCACAAUGGGUGGAAGCCUGAUGCAGCAACGCCGUGUGCGGGAUGACGGCCUUCGGGUUGUAAGCCGCUUUCGCUCAUGACGAAGCGUUGUGUGACGGUAGUGGGUAAAGAAGCACCGGCUAACUACGUG
Molecule: ribosomal RNA, 467 nt
Filed under: uncultured bacterium
Lineage: Bacteria
Description: partial 16S ribosomal RNA
Rfam family: Bacterial small subunit ribosomal RNA
Source: RNAcentral